UUAAGCAUAUCAUAACCCGGAGGACAUGGCGAAACCUCUUCAUUGUACCACCGAGAACAGUGUCUUUCACCCAUACAUCUUGCGGCCUCGACGGCUCGUGACUUCCGUUCAGGCUGAACAAAAAACGAACGCGGGGUUGCUCAGAUCAUCAAUGUUUACUUGCGUCCCCGUUCUGUCGGGCGUGACAGCAGUUGCAUCAUACUGUUACGA
This 210-nucleotide ribosomal RNA is filed under the name Plumbago zeylanica. RNAcentral describes it as "partial 26S ribosomal RNA". The record is from RNAcentral. Lineage: Eukaryota; Viridiplantae; Streptophyta; Magnoliopsida; Caryophyllales; Plumbaginaceae.